AGCUCUUGAAGAAGAAGAGUCACACAUUCAUCAAUCUCUUUACAAAGAACCUGAUUGCAAUACCUGUAAGGGAAGCACAAAAUAGUUUGGAGGCUCAAUAGCUGUACUACUUCCUCUCCAGUGGGCCAUGGAUACCAAAAGUCUAACAAGUUACAAUUUCAACAUAAAAUUUCAGCACUUAGCUAAACAUUUUAUAGAUUCUGUUUAUCACAUCUAUAUAAAUAAUUCUUGUUUUAUCUCUUCUGUUUCUAAUCAAAUAAAGCUAGACUGCCUCUCAUGGGUGCCACAAACAACAAUGACUCAUUUUUGCAAUAACCAUAGGGAAA
This is a long non-coding RNA of Mustela erminea (ermine), 326 nucleotides long. RefSeq lists it as uncharacterized. The transcript is spliced from 3 exons. NCBI's taxonomy places the organism in Eukaryota, Metazoa, Chordata, Mammalia, Carnivora, Mustelidae. The record is from RefSeq and is a predicted model, not a curated record.